RNAcentral lists this ribosomal RNA (174 nucleotides) under uncultured bacterium. RNAcentral's name for it is "partial 16S ribosomal RNA". It matches the Rfam family "Bacterial small subunit ribosomal RNA", at positions 1327 to 1500 of the family's 1533-position model. The record is from RNAcentral.
CGGAAUCGCUAGUAAUCGCGGAUCAGCAUGCCGCGGUGAAUACGUUCCCGGGCCUUGUACACACCGCCCGUCACACAUGGGAGUUUGUAACGCCCAAAGUCGGUGGCCUAACCUUUAUGGAGGGAGCCGCCUAAGGCGGGACAGAUGACUGGGGUGAAGUCGUAACAAGGUACC